This 8520-nucleotide long non-coding RNA is filed under the name Fragaria vesca (wild strawberry). RNAcentral describes it as "long non-coding RNA (FVES_LNC003130)". Lineage: Eukaryota; Viridiplantae; Streptophyta; Magnoliopsida; Rosales; Rosaceae. The record is from RNAcentral.
UUUGGUAGGUGGAAAAUGCCUACCGGGAAUUGCCCCUCCAAAUGCUCGAAGAACGAGAGAUGUGAGAGAAGACGCAUUCACCAAUGCAUUAGGCAUUGUGGAGCCUAUCUCUACCCAACCAAGAUGAAGUUGUUUUAUGUUGGUCAAGUUCUGAACUAGGCUUCCAAAGUUGGCCAUUUUGAGAUGAGACUCGUAAGUAGUAGACAGAUCAAGGGCAGACAGCUUGGAUAGAUAUGAAAUUUGUAAUGGGAUUUGGCCAGAAAAUGAAGACAUUGAAAGGUUGAGAUAUGUUAGACUAGUAAGAGCAUGGCCUAACCUAGAUGGUAUUUGAGAGAAGCCGAAGUUAUUGUCGGAGAGGUCAAGCCUCUGCAACUGAACAAGUUGAAAAAGACUGCUGCUGGAGUUGAUGGAACCAUGAAGAUAGCUGCUGGCAAGGUCAAGGCCAACAACAUGGCCAGAGUCAUCGUUGCAUUCAACACCAUCCCAUGAACAACAGUUGCUCCUUUGAGGAUCUACUUCUAGCCUACCCCAAGACGCAACCUUUGGAUAAGCAAAGGGUGUAAGAACCUAAUUGGACAUAUCAUCUAAUAAUAAAGUUUACACAAUAUUUAUGUGAUAUCUUGUAAAUGAAACAAAGGACCAUAUAUACAGUAAAUCGGUAACUAUGAUAUUGUGAUUAAUAUUAUAGAUUAUGAGCCUAACUAAAGAUAUUAUACAUAUCUUAAAAGGUAUGGAAUUAAGUGACUUAACUACUAAGGAGGUGCAUAUGGUAAGUGACAUAUUCUCUAUGAUGGGUGGAUUUUGUCACCUAGCACCUAUAUAAGUCAAGGUCCCUGUUCUUCCAAAAUCUACAUGUUCGUAAAGUAAUCUCGCCCCAUUGAGAGAUAGAACAGACCAUAGUUGGAGAGAGCAGAAGACUUUGUCUUUCCCAAUCCUUGCAAGAAGACGAUGGACGCCAUAAGUAUAUACUCUUAUUCAUCAAACAUAUAUAUAUACUUUGUAUCUCUAUCACUAUGCAGAUUAUAACGUGUUCAUAUAUCAUAUUGUUAUGAUCUUAUAUGUGGUAUCAGAGCCACACUGCAUAUAUAGAGAUCAAUAAAAAUUUACGGUUGUUUUCUCCCAUUUGGACCGCUUUGAGUAAAUAAAAAGUUAAAUAAAAUUUUUGGGGCCUGUGCUUUGCACCAAACGGUGCGUUUUUGGCUUAAUUGAGAUAAAGAUGAUAAAACCCUUUUGGGGUGUUCUUCCGCUGUGCAUUCGACAAACCCAUUUUUGGGGUUUUUUCUCUUUUCUUUUUACUCAAAAUCAAGCAAUCGAUUUUCAUGCUUUAUCAUCUUGAAACCCACAUCAUGUCCCUCUUAUUCUUCCACAUCAAUGGGUUUUCUCAUCUACUCCUUCGUCAUGAAAUUUUGAAGAUUAGCAUUUGAUUUCUAAUGUCUUGAUUGUGUGGUUGGAUAUAAUCAGAAUGGUAUGUAUCUUACUUUACCUUGCAGGGACAAAAGCUCAGGUAUUUGUAUUAGUUUAGCAAUUUUUGCUAAACUAAUUGAAUUAUGCAGAAUUGUCUUUACUGAUGAUGUUUGAGCUAAAUGUUAUUGCAGCUAUAUAUGCUUGUCUUUUGCAAUAUAUGUUUUGUUUGAUGUCUACUAAAGAAAUCGAAAACUUCACACAUAACUAUUCACGUCAUAAGACUCAAAUAAAACUUUGGUCUAGUUCUAUGAUACCUCAUAAUGAUUUUAUCUUGCCAUACAGGUGUUAAAAUUGUUCAGGUUUCUUGGUUCAUGGUUAUAAUGUUAGACCAAAAUUGUGAUUUUAGAUUAUGAUAUAUGUACAUUCUCUUGCCAUACAGGUGUUAAUUAUGUAUAUCGUAGUCUAAAGUUAGCUCAUCAAAGGAAUUUAGAACACUUAAAGGAAUCUUAUCAUCUUGCUCACAUGCGUUGAUAAAAUUUAAAGUUCUGUGCUCUAUAAAGCUUGUGGUGUGAUAAAGAACUCAAGGCACUAUUAAAUUUCUUGCACACAUGUGUUAUUUAGUAGUGCAACUAAUGAUUGGGGUUAUUUUGAACAAUUUUGUGCCUUCUCUGGAUUGUUUUAUUGUUCAUUGUAUGACAUGUUUAGGAUAAUUUACUUAAGGCCUAUUACAUGUUUUACUUUACAGUUUCUUCUGCGCUUAUGACACCAAUAGAAAUUCUGAGUGCUACCAACUUUAAGGGGUGGAAGAAUGACAUAAGGGGAUCAUGGACCUCGAUUUAGCCUUAAGGGAGGAUCAGCCUGUGAUCACUCCAACUAGUACCAAUGCUCAGAAGUUGAAAGCUGAGAAAUGGGAGAGGUCCAACAGGGUGGCGGUGUUUUUUAUGCAGAAAUACAUGAAUGAGACUGUCCGAGGUAGCAUUGCAGAAACUGAUGAUGCCAGGGCUUAUCUAGCAGCAAUAGCACAGAAGUUUCAGGCGUCUCCUUAGGCAGAAGCAACAAACUUGAUGGGGGCGCUGUAUAAGGCACAAUUUGAUGGAGAAGGAAGCGUUAGGGCACAUAUAAUGAAGCUGAUUGAUAUAGGGAAGAAACUUUCUGCCAUAGAGAUUCGACCCCCUGAUCCUUUUCUUAUCAAUUCUGCUCUUGAAUCCCUUCCAGAGGCCUAUAGUCAGUUAAAGGUCAGCUACAAUACCCAGAAAGAUAAAUGGCCUGUGGAUGAGCUUAUUGCGCACUGUGUGCAAGAAGAAGCUAGGCUGAAAAGGGAGAAGGAGAAAUCUGUCUCUGUCCAUUUAGUUACUCAAGGGAAAGCUGCUGGAUUCCACAAACGUCCAUCUCAUCAUGCCAAAAGUGCUCCUCCAAAGCAAAACUCCUCUUCAUCCAAAGGAUCUCAGAACCUUAAGCCAAAACAAACAACUGUUUUCAAAUGUUUUUUUUUGCAAAAACUCUGGCCACAUGAAGAGGAAUUGCGCAAAAUAUAAGUCGUGGCUAGAUAAGAAGGGUACAUAUUCUGUUUACUCCAUCUCAGGGCUUUGUCUAGGUUCACCUCAUGUUUUUACAAUAAUUGAGUCAAAUCUGAUUUCUGUUCCUUCAAAUUCCUGGUGGUAUGACACCGGUUCUCCUGUUCACAUCUCUAAUUCCUUGCAGGGCUUCGUAAGCCGGAGAACUCCAAGUAGAGAUGAAGUCAAAGUUUUCGUAGGAAAUGGAGUCAAAGUUGCUGUUGAAGCCAUAGGAAUCGUUCACCUUAAGUUAGAAUUUGGUUUUGUUUUGAUUUUAAAGGAUGUUUUGUUUAUUCCUUCAAUGAGAAGGAAUUUGCUUUCUCCUGUCAGACUUGUUAAGGAUGGUUUUCGUUUUACUGUUUCUGAAGAAAUAAAGUUUUUCCUUGAUUCAAAUUGUGUUGGCAGUGCCUAUCUUCAAGAUGACAUGUGGGGUAUAAGAUGUUCUUAUUCUGUUGAUACUUAUCUUGUAGAGCAUUCUAUAGGAUCCAAAAGAGUCCAACUUAAUGAAAAUUCCUCUUUCCUAUGGCAUAAGCGCCUAGGACACAUAUCCAAAAGACGUCUUCAACAGCUUGUUAAGUCUGGGAUACUUCCAGACUUAGAUUUCUCUGAUUUGGCAAUUUGUAUUGAUUGCAUAAAGGGUAAAAUGACAAAUUCUAGAAAGUUAGGUUUUACACGUAGUUCCAAACUUCUAGAGCUUAUCCAUACGGAUAUUUGUGGUCCGUUCAAUGUCAAUACCAUCUGUGGAAAAAAGUAUUAUAUAACCUUCAUCGAUGAUUUUUCGCGGUAUUGUCAUCUUUACCUUCUUUCUGAAAAAUCUCAAAGUCUUGAAGCCUUUAAAAUUUACAAAACUGAAGUUGAAAAACAGUUAGAGAAAUCCAUUAAGGUGGUUCGAUCCGACAGAGGAGGAGAGUACUAUGGCAAAUAUGAUGAGACUGGACAACAUAAGGGUCCGUUUGCAAAAAUUUUGGAGGAAUGUGGAAUCAUUGCACAAUACACGACACCGGGUACACCAGAACAGAAUGGGGUUGCUGAACGUAGAAACCGUACAUUGCUGAACGUAGAAACCGUACAUUGUUGAAUAUGGUUCGAAGCAUGAUCAGCAGGAGCGACUUGCCUAUUUUCUUGUGGGGUGAAGCACUUAAGACUGCGAAUUAUAUCUCCAAUCGUGUUCCAAGCAAGGCUGUUGACAGAACACCUUUUGAAAUCUGGAAUAGUCGAAAACCAAGCCUUAUGCAUUUUCGUACCUGGGGAUGCCCUGUAGAGGCCCGUCCUUACAAUCCAGAUGAAAAGAAGCUAGAUUCUAGAACUAUUACUUGCCAUUUUAUUGGCUAUCCUGAUAAGUCCAAAGGUUAUAAGUUUUAUUGUCCUAGUCACUCUACUAGGAUAAUUGAAACUAACAAAGCCAAGUUUCUGGAAGAUAAUAUGCCAUCUUCUGUUCAAGACCUUGUUUUGGAGGAAGAGGGUGAAGAAGUUGUUCGAAAUCCAGCAAAAAAUAGUACUCCAGCUGUUUCUGCUGUAGUAUACCCUCAGGUGCCUCAAGAACCCCAUGUCCUUGAUGACCAGAUUGUUGAUAAUCCCAUUAAUUUCGAACAACAAGAUCUUCCUCCAAAUGAAGCAGCCAUAGUACAACCCGAAGCUGCUCCAGAAGCUGUCCCAUUGAGGAGGUCUGAAAGAGUUCGCAGGUCUGCAAUCUUUGAUGAUUAUGUAUUGUUUAUUCAAGAAGUAGAACCUGAAAACUUUUGUACAUAUCUUCAAGAAGUUGAUUUUGAUAUUGGCGAAGACAAUGAUCCAGUAACCUACAACCAAGCCAUUAAUAGUUCCCAAUCAGCCUUAUGGACAGAAGCGAUGCAUGCAGAGUUAGAGUCCAUGAAAGACAAUGAAGUGUGGGAGCUAGUUGAACCAAACCCAGAUGUCAAGCCAAUUGGGUGCAAAUGGGUGUUUAAAACGAAGAAAAACGCAGAUGGGAGGAUAGAAAGAUACAAGGCUAGGUUGGUGGCGAAAAGUUUUACUCAAAGAGAGGGGAUAGACUACCAUGAAACGUUUUCACCGGUUUUAACCAAAGAUGCGUUUCGGAUGAUCAUGGCAUUAGUAGCUCAUUAUGACAUGGAGCUACACCAGAUGGAUGUCAAAACAGCAUUCCUUAACGGAGAAUUGGAAGAAGAAAUUCAUAUGAAGCAGCCCCAAGGUUUUGAGGAACAAGGGAGUGAGCAUAUGGUGUGUAGGCUCAAGAAGUCCAUUUACGGCUUGAAGCAAGCUUCAAGGCAAUGGUACUUGCAGUUUGAUUCAGUUGUGACUGAAAAUGGUUUUGUGUAGAAUCCUUUAGAUGAAUGCAUUUAUUUUAAGGUAUGUGGGAGCAGGUUCAUUGUAUUGGUUUUGUAUGUAGAUGACAUUCUGUUGGCUAGUACAGAUAUGAAACUGCUUUUAGAGACCAAAUCCUUUUUAUCUCAGUCUUUUGAGAUGAAGGAUCUAGGGGAAGCAUCUUUUGUGUUGGGCAUCAAGAUCACAAGAGAUAGAAAACGGGGGCUGUUGGGAAUUUCUCAAGAGAGUUACAUAGACAAAGUGCUGAGGCGUUUUUCUAUGGAAAACUGUUCUGGUGGAGACUUGCCUAUGAGCAAAGGUGACAAGUUCAAUAAAUCACAGUGUCCUAAGAAUGAUUUUGAGAAGAAUGCCAUGAAGAACAAACCGUACGCUUCACUUGUAGGAAGUUUAAUGUAUGCUCAGGUUUGUACUCGCCCAGAUAUUGCUUUUGCUGUUAGCAGGCUUGGUAGAUAUCAAGUCAAUCCAGGAGAGGUUCAUUGGACAGCGGGCAAGAAAGUGUUGAGAUACCUGAAGAAAACAAGGGACUACAAGUUGGUGUACAGGAAAAGUGAAUCAUUAGAUGUUGUUGGGUAUUCUGAUUCAGAUCAUGCAGGUGAUAAGGAUGACUUAAAGUCUACUUCUGGUUUUGUUUUUCUAAUGGCUGGUGGGGCAAUAUCAUGGAGUAGUUCAAAGCAAACAGAGGCUACCUUGUCUACCAUGCAAUCUGAGUUCAUUGCACUAAGUUAUGCCACUACUCAUGCUGUUUGGUUAAGAGAUCUCAUUCGUUGCACUCAGGUUGUUCCUAGCGUAGAAAGACCAAUGCCUAUUUUCUGUGAUAACUCUGCUGCAGUUUUCUUUGCUAAGAAUAACAAGAGGUCUUCCAGCUCAAAGCAAAUAGAGUUGAAAUUUCUUCAUGUAAGAAAGAAAACUGAAGAGAAAAAGGUAGUUAUUGAAGACAUUAGGACAACAGAAAUGAUUGCUGAUCCCCUCACCAAACCAGUACCGGUUAAAGUUUUUAAUAAGCAUGUUGCGGGCAUGGGAUUAGCUGAUAGUUUUGAUUCCAUAGCUUAGUGGGAGCAUAUUGAUGUACAACUUUUGCCUGUUUGUUUCUUUUGUCUACAGAUUCUAGUUUAUUUUGGCUGAUGCAAUUUGAUACAAUUUGAUUGUUACUGAUUAAUAAGAAUUGCAUUGUCAGUUUUGCAAUUGUUUAAAGAUUAUUUGAUUGCUGGUAUCUAACAAUUUAUUGCUGCAGCUCAAGUCUUGAAUAGCUAUUUGAAAGAUCUUUGUCUUCUGGUAUUUGACAGAGAAUUGGAAUGUGUUCUUCUUUUGGAAACACAUCAGCUUCAGUAGAAGCAUAAAGUAUAAAGGGCUUUAUCUACAAAGCCAUAAGGUGAGACCAUGAUAUGAGACAUUCAGUAAUCACGUUCAGUUGUUUUAUAUCAAAAAUAUUUCUAUACCUUGUGGUGACUCAUGUGAAUACAAGUGCUGAUACUAUGGACAUAAGGUGCUAUGCAGAUUGUUGCAUCAGAUUUCUUAUGAUCUGGUAUGAGUGGCUGUGUUUGACAGAGUCUUGAAGUUGGGUUAUAUUGUAAGUAUUGUCCAUGUCGACUAAAGAUUGUUUUAUUUGGUUUUGGAUUCAUAUGGCUAUUGUGUAUUAUAUGAUUGUCCAAGUGGGAGAAUGUAAGAACCUAAUUGGACAUAUCAUCUAAUAAUAAAGUUUACACAAUAUUUAUGUGAUAUCUUGUAAAUGAAACAAAGGACCAUAUAUACAGUAAAUCGGUAACUAUGAUAUUGUGAUUAAUAUUAUAGAUUAUGAGCCUAACUAAAGAUAUUAUACAUAUCUUAAAAGGUAUGGAAUCAAGUGACUUAACUACUAAGGAGGUGCAUAUGGUAAGUGACAUAUUCUCUAUGAUGGGUGGAUUUUGUCACCUAGCACCUAUAUAAGUCAAGGUCCCUGUUCUCCCAAAAUCUACAUGUUCGUAAAGUAAUCUCGCCCCAUUGAGAGAUAGAACAGACCAUAGUUGGAGAGAGCAGAAGACUUUGUCUUUCCCAAUCCUUGCAAGAAGACGAUGGACGCCAUAGUUAUAUACUCUUAUUCAUCAAACAUAUAUAUACUUUGUAUCUCUAUCACUAUGCAGAUUAUAACGUGUUCAUAUAUCAUGUUGUUAUGAUCUUAUAUGCAUGCCAUAAGCAAAAACCACAACAAGGAACAUAUACUAGUGACUUUUCAAAAAUAAAUUAUGGCAGUUAAUGUCAUGCAUAGUGCAUCGUAUACUAAGUUUCUUGAUACCUUGAUAUAUGCAGGUUGAUUAACAUGUGGUGGUAAUCAAUAUAGAUGGGUUAAUAAUGCUANNNNNNNNNNNNNNNNNNNNCUAUAUAUGAUAUUAACUAGUUAACUUGCAUUACUUUCUGCCUACUGCAUGAGUAACUUGUAAUAUGUAAUAAUGCAUUGUAAGAACCUAAUUGGACAUAUCAUCUAAUAAUAAAGUUUACACAAUAUUUAUGUGAUAUCUUGUAAAUGAAACAAAGGACCAUAUAUGCAGUAAAUCGGUAACUAUGAUAUUGUGAUUAAUAUUAUAGAUUAUGAGCCUAACUAAAGAUAUUAUACAUAUCUUAAAAGGUAUGGAAUCAAGUGACUUAACUACUAAGGAGGUGCAUAUGGUAAGUGACAUAUUCUCUAUGAUGGGUGGAUUUUGUCACCUAGCACCUAUAUAAGUCAAGGUCCCUGUUCUCCCAAAAUCUACAUGUUCGUAAAGUAAUCUCGCCCCAUUGAGAGAUAGAACAGACCAUAGUUGGAGAGAGCAGAAGACUUUGUCUUUCCCAAUCCUUGCAAGAAGACGAUGGACGCCAUAGUUAUAUACUCUUAUUCAUCAAACAUAUAUAUAUAUAUACUUUGUAUCUCUAUUACUAUGCAGAUUAUAACGUGUUCAUAUAUCAUGUUGUUAUGAUCUUAUAAAGGGAUCUUGGGAAGCAGACUUGUCUAUGGCAAAACUAGCUUUGAAUUGCAACAAGGCAGAGCGGCUCAUUAUCUUGGCAAAGUGUUUGGACCUGAGCAAAAGAAAAACAGCAUGCAGCAUUCAUGAAUAACAAGAGGAUAGAAUAAUGCACAGAAUACAAGUCACACCAGGAUGAGCCAAUUCCCUUUCCCAUGAAAUAUUCUGUUUUCUUGGUAUAUGCGUAUGUAGGUAUGUGGAUUUCACGUAACAGAGAACUUGAACUUCCCUCCUUUAUAGACAAAGAACAGAUCUUAUUUCGUGAGCUGGGA